Molecule: ribosomal RNA, 506 nt
Filed under: uncultured bacterium
Lineage: Bacteria
Description: partial 16S ribosomal RNA
Rfam family: Bacterial small subunit ribosomal RNA
Source: RNAcentral
AUUGAACGCUGGCGGCAUGCCUAACACAUGCAAGUCGAACGGCAGCAUGACCUAGCUUGCUAGGUUGAUGGCGAGUGGCGCACGGGUGAGUAAUGCGUAGGAAUAUGCCUUGAAGUGGGGGAUAACCUGGGGAAACUCAGGCUAAUACCGCAUGAGCUCUAAGGAGGAAAGCUGGGGACCGAAAGGCCUGGCGCUUCAAGAUUAGCUUACGUCCGAUUAGCUAGGUGGUAGGGUAAAGGCCUACCAAGGCGACGAUCGGUAGCUGGGCUGAAGGGAUGCACGGGCACACUGGGACGGAACCACGGCCCAGACUCCUACGGGAGGCAGCAGUGGGGAAUAUUGGACAAUGGGGGCAACCCUGAGCCAGCGAUGCCGCGUGUGUGAAGGAGGCUUGCGGGUUGUAAUGCACUUUCAGUGGGGAGGAGGACUUUGAGGUUAAGAGCUGCUAAGUUGGACAUUACCCACAGAAGAAGCACCGGCUAACUCCGUGCCAGCAGCCGCGGUAA